Molecule: unclassified non-coding RNA, 712 nt
Filed under: Hevea brasiliensis (rubber tree)
Lineage: Eukaryota; Viridiplantae; Streptophyta; Magnoliopsida; Malpighiales; Euphorbiaceae
Source: RNAcentral
AAGAUUAGGAUAUAAAAUUUCUGGCUAUUAUCCAAUCCUCGAUUUGUCUUGUUUUAUAUAGUACUACCAAUGCCCAGUUACAUUAAUCUCCAAAUCUUCCCAGUCUGUGACCAAAUUCUAAAAUUCUUGCACUACCCAUCUGGAAAAUGGCCACCAUUACAACCACCAAGUUGCCAACACUCUUGGCCCCUGCAAGCUUCAAGAAAACAACCAGGAUUCACUCCACUCCUAUUCUUGGGUUGCCGGUAAUGGCAAGGACAGGGUGCAAGGUCAAGUGCAGCCUAGAGGAGAAGAAAGAGGCAAGAUCCAAGGGCAUAAGCACAAGCAUGGUUUUAUCGAUGAUGGCAGCAGCAUCAGCAAUGGCAACAAGCACAGCAGGGCCAGCAACGGCAUUGGUGGAUGAGAGAAUGAGCACAGAAGGGACUGGACUUCCCUUUGGUUUAAGCAACAACCUUCUAGUGUGGAUACUUCUUGGUGUGUUUGGUUUGAUUUGGGCUUUCUACAGUGUCUACACUUCAACUCUUGAAGAAGAUGAUGAUUCUGCUUUGUCCCUCUAAGAAAGCAAGGGCUUCUCUUCCACUGUAACAAAUGUAUGAAAUAGCUUGGAAAUUGAAGGGGGGAACAUGGGUGUCUCUCUGUAUCAAUGCUUUAACGUUUUCCUUAAUCGCACAAUAAUAAUUAUUGUUAUUAUUAUUUCCUUUAAUUAAACGCU